AGAUGAAUCAAAGAAGGUAAUAAUCCUGUAGUCGAAAAUGUUGUCUCUCUUGAGUGGAUCCUGAGUACGACGGAGCACGUGAAAUUCCGUCGGAAUCUGGGAGGACCAUCUCCUAAGGCUAAAUACUCUCUAGUGACCGAUAGUGAACCAGUACCGUGAGGGAAAGGUGAAAAGCACCCCGGAAGGGGAGUGAAAUAGAACCUGAAACCGUGUGCUUACAAGUAGUCAGAGCCCGUUAAUGGGUGAUGGCGUGCCUUUUGUAGAAUGAACCGGCGAGUUACGAUUUGAUGCAAGGUUAAGCAGUAAAUGUGGAGCCGUAGCGAAAGCGAGUCUGAAUAGGGCGUUUAGUAUUUGGUCGUAGACCCGAAACCAGGUGAUCUACCCUUGGUCAGGUUGAAGUUCAGGUAACACUGAAUGGAGGACCGAACCGACUUACGUUGAAAAGUGAGCGGAUGAACUGAGGGUAGCGGAGAAAUUCCAAUCGAACCUGGAGAUAGCUGGUUCUCUCCGAAAUAGCUUUAGGGCUAGCCUCAAGUGAUGAUUAUUGGAGGUAGAGCACUGUUUGGACGAGGGGCCCCUCUCGGGUUACCGAAUUCAGACAAACUCCGAAUGCCAAUUAAUUUAACUUGGGAGUCAGAACAUGGGUGAUAAGGUCCGUGUUCGAAAGGGAAACAGCCCAGACCACCAGCUAAGGUCCCAAAAUAUAUGUUAAGUGGAAAAGGAUGUGGCGUUGCCCAGACAACUAGGAUGUUGGCUUAGAAGCAGCCAUCAUUUAAAGAGUGCGUAAUAGCUCACUAGUCGAGUGACACUGCGCCGAAAAUGUACCGGGGCUAAACAUAUUACCGAAGCUGUGGAUUGUCCUUUGGACAAUGGUAGGAGAGCGUUCUAAGGGCGUUGAAGCAUGAUCGUAAGGACAUGUGGAGCGCUUAGAAGUGAGAAUGCCGGUGUGAGUAGCGAAAGACGGGUGAGAAUCCCGUCCACCGAUUGACUAAGGUUUCCAGAGGAAGGCUCGUCCGCUCUGGGUUAGUCGGGUCCUAAGCUGAGGCCGACAGGCGUAGGCGAUGGAUAACAGGUUGAUAUUCCUGUACCACCUAUAAUCGUUUUAAUCGAUGGGGGGACGCAGUAGGAUAGGCGAAGCGUGCGAUUGGAUUGCACGUCUAAGCAGUAAGGCUGAGUAUUAGGCAAAUCCGGUACUCGUUAAGGCUGAGCUGUGAUGGGGAGAAGACAUUGUGUCUUCGAGUCGUUGAUUUCACACUGCCGAGAAAAGCCUCUAGAUAGAAAAUAGGUGCCCGUACCGCAAACCGACACAGGUAGUCAAGAUGAGAAUUCUAAGGUGAGCGAGCGAACUCUCGUUAAGGAACUCGGCAAAAUGACCCCGUAACUUCGGGAGAAGGGGUGCUCUUUAGGGUUAACGCCCAGAAGAGCCGCAGUGAAUAGGCCCAAGCGACUGUUUAUCAAAAACACAGGUCUCUGCUAAACCGUAAGGUGAUGUAUAGGGGCUGACGCCUGCCCGGUGCUGGAAGGU
Molecule: ribosomal RNA, 1525 nt
Filed under: Staphylococcus aureus
Lineage: Bacteria; Bacillati; Bacillota; Bacilli; Caryophanales; Staphylococcaceae
Description: partial 23S ribosomal RNA
Rfam family: Bacterial large subunit ribosomal RNA
Source: RNAcentral